UAGGGAAUCUUCGGCAAUGGGGGGAACCCUGACCGAGCAACGCCGCGUGAGUGAAGAAGGUUUUCGGAUCGUAAAGCUCUGUUGUUAAGGAAGAACGAGUGUGAGAAUGGAAAGUUCAUGCUGUGACGGUACUUAACCAGAAAGGGACGGCUAACUACGUGCCAGCAGCCGCGGUAAUACGUAGGUCCCGAGCGUUGUCCGGCUUUAUUGGGCGUAAAGCGAGCGCAGGCGGUUAGAAAAGUCUGAAGUGAAAGGCAGUGGCUCAACCAUUGUAGGCUUUGGAAACUGUUUAACUUGAGUGCAGAAGGGGAGAGUGGAAUUCCAUGUGUAGCGGUGAAAUGCGUAGAUAUAUGGAGGAACACCGGUGGCGAAAGCGGCUCUCUGGUCUGUAACUGACGCUGAGGCUCGAAAGCGUGGGGAGCGAACAGG
This 429-nucleotide ribosomal RNA is filed under the name Bacteroidota bacterium. Its description in RNAcentral is "Bacteroidetes bacterium partial 16S ribosomal RNA". It matches the Rfam family "Bacterial small subunit ribosomal RNA", at positions 355 to 776 of the family's 1533-position model. The record is from RNAcentral. RNAcentral also lists the same sequence under 1 other name. Lineage: Bacteria; Pseudomonadati; Bacteroidota.